GAGGAAGUAACACUGAUGCUUCAGGCUGAUAGAGACGCUCAGCGACGUGUUUCUGACUAAGGCUCAAACCCACUUCAGAGCCAGAACGAGCAGCAACAGCUGUUCCUAUCGAACGCGUGUGUGGGUCCGAUCACAAUGUGACGCGUCUUAGUUUGGUUUGAGUCUUUACUGAAGCCUGUUCCAUCACAUCCGCUCACAAUGAACCUCACCUCGACCUCUGACCACAUGAGGGAGGAGUCUGUGAACCGACAGGAUGUGUCUUCAUCUGAGUGAUGGAGGCGACCAUGAGGAAGUGAGACCUGACUAAGCAUAAACCACAUCAGUGCUGAAGAGGCUCCAGUUUCCAGCAGCAGAGACGGAGGCACCAUGGUUGGACACACAUGGAUCCACAGCUUGUUAAUAGUGACAGGGCUUCAGUUCACAGGUAAGAACACGGACCAACGACACACACGUCACAGAAGCCACGCAGCAAAAGCUUCAGAAGAAGACGAUCAGUGAGAUGAUGUGUGGUUCUGCUCUCAUUGUUGCUUCACUCAAACAUUUUCUCAGGAGCUGCUUUGAUCAGACGUGGAGACGACGUCUCGUUCCCUUGUAACAAUCUGAUCCCUGAUCAGAGUCAGUGUAACACCACCACCUGGCUCUACAGUGUCUCAGGACCAGCACUAGUGGAGCUGGUUACACUUGGGAAGAUUAGAGAAAACGAUGCAUCUAAAUCCAACAGACUGAGUUUAACAGAGAACUGUUCUCUGGUCAUAAAGCAGAUCACAGAUCAGGAUGCUGGUCGUUACACCUGCAGACAGUAUAAUAAAUCAGGACGACAACAAGGUGUAGAUGCUGCUGUUGACUUGUCUGUUGUUACCUGUGAGUAUUUGCAUCAUCAUGUUUUCAUCUCAGUCUGUGACUGAAGCAUUAAAUAUGAAGCUGAAGCUAAUGUUGAUCUUGUUUCACCAGUGACUCAACAUGAACACGAUGAUGAGGUGACGUUAAACUGUCACGUGUGGACGAAUAGUCAGUGCAGACACACAGUAAAGUGGCUGUUUGAGGAUAAAGACCUGGAAAAGACUUCAAUAAAGUCAUCAGAGUCUCUCUGUGACGCUGCUGUUACUUUUAGUAGAAGUUCCUUCUAUUCAUCGCGCUCCAUUACUUCAUUUACGUGUGAAGUGAGAGAUGGUCACAAUCAUCAAAGCUCCACCUUCAACCUUCAGCCUCAAGGUGACGACAAACCACCAGCAACAGGUGGAGGUCUGUGGAGGAACGUCGUGGUCUCGGUGGCUGUAACGUCUCUGGUGGUGGUGGUGGUCACAGUCCACGUGUGGACCAGAGCUGAAGGUGAAACGUUUUCCUGCCGACAGAAGCUUCAGCGUUUGUGCGUUGGCUGUUUGUGCUGAAGUCGACUCUUUUGUCUUCGUAGGGAACAAAGGGACGGAUCAAGCAGUGAGUAUGAAGCUGCUCUUUGUUCAGAUGAGCUGCUGCCCGUGGGGUUGUGGGUCCGAGUCCCUGCGGCGCUGAGCAAGGCAGCGAGCUCCAGCUGUUCCUCUGCAGCUGCUUCGUGUCCGUCACUGUUCUGUUUGAGCUCAGUGUCGAUGCUUCCACAGGUUCACGGUGAUGAAGACGAUGGUGAAGGUGCAGCGACGUAUGAAAACGCCAGAGACUCGUCUGCUUCAGUCUGAGCAACGACGGCAUCAACUCACCACGCGCAUUCAUCCUGCUGCGUCUGAGUCUCUGUUCUGUUGUUAAACCAUGAAUAAAGCAUCAGACGUUUAUCA
This 1766-nucleotide long non-coding RNA is filed under the name Betta splendens (Siamese fighting fish). RNAcentral's name for it is "lncRNA (ENSBSLG00000024850.1)". The record is from RNAcentral. Lineage: Eukaryota; Metazoa; Chordata; Actinopteri; Anabantiformes; Osphronemidae.